Molecule: ribosomal RNA, 497 nt
Filed under: uncultured bacterium
Lineage: Bacteria
Description: partial 16S ribosomal RNA
Rfam family: Bacterial small subunit ribosomal RNA
Source: RNAcentral
GAUGAACGCUGGCGGCGUGCCUAAUACAUGCAAGUCGAGCGAACGGACGAGAAGCUUGCUUUUCUGAUGUUAGCGGCGGACGGGUGAGUAACACGUGGAUAACCUACCUAUAAGACUGGGAUAACUUCGGGAAACCGGAGCUAAUACCGGAUAAUAUUUUGAACCGCAUGGUUCAAAAGUGAAAGACGGUCUUGCUGUCACUUAUAGAUGGAUCCGCGCUGCAUUAGCUAGUUGGUAAGGUAACGGCUUACCAAGGCAACGAUGCAUAGCCGACCUGAGAGGGUGAUCGGCCACACUGGAGCUGAGACACGGUCCAGACUCCUACGGGAGGCAGCAGUAGGGAAUCUUCCGCAAUGGGCGAAAGCCUGGCGGAGCAACGCCGCGUGAGUGAUGAAGGUCUUCGGAUCGUAAAACUCUGUUAUUAGGGAAGAACAUAUGUGUAAGUAACUGUGCACAUCUUGACGGUACCUAAUCAGAAAGCCACGGCUAACUACGUG